CAUCCACACCGAGCAGGCUGAAAAGUUAGCUUGGCCACGGUAGAUCGCGGGUUUGAUUCCCACCGUGGCCAAGCUAACUUUUCAGCCUGCUCGGUGUGGAUG
RNAcentral lists this small RNA (102 nucleotides) under Paramuricea clavata. The record is from RNAcentral. Lineage: Eukaryota; Metazoa; Cnidaria; Anthozoa; Malacalcyonacea; Plexauridae.